GAUGAACGCUGGCGGCGUGCUUAACACAUGCAAGUCGAACGGAAAGGCCCUGCUUUUGUGGGGUGCUCGAGUGGCGAACGGGUGAGUAAAACGUGAGUAAACUGUCCUUGACUUUGGGAUAAAUUCAGGAAACUGGGGCUAUUACCGGAUAGGAGCUCCUGAUGCAUGGUGGGGGUUGGAAAGUUUCGGCGGUUGGGGAUGGACUCGCGGCUUAUCAGCUUGUUGGUGGGGUAGUGGCUUACCAAGGCUUUGACGGGUAGCCGGCCUGAGAGGGUGACCAGCCACAUGGGGACUGAGGGACGGCCCAGACUCCUACGGGAGGCAGCAGUGGAGAAUAUUGCACAAUGGGCGGAAGCCUGAUACAACAGCCCCGCGUGCGUGAUGACGUCCUUCGAGUUGUAAACCGCUUUCUCCUGUGACGAAGCGUGAUUGACGGUAAUGGGUAAAGAAGCACCGGCUAACUACGUG
RNAcentral lists this ribosomal RNA (468 nucleotides) under uncultured bacterium. Its description in RNAcentral is "partial 16S ribosomal RNA". It matches the Rfam family "Bacterial small subunit ribosomal RNA", at positions 28 to 507 of the family's 1533-position model. The record is from RNAcentral.